GCUGGGCACGGUGGCACGUGCCUGCAGUCCCAGCUACUCAGGAGGCUGAGGUGGGAGGAUCACUUGAGCCCAGGAGUUCUGGGCUGUAGUGCGCUAUAUCGAUCGGGUGUCCGCACUAAGUUCGGCAUCAAUAUGGUGACCUCCUGAGAGCAGGGGACCACCAGGUUGCCUAAGGAGGGGUGAACCGGCCCAGGUUGGAAACGGAGCAGGUCAAAACUCCCAUGCUGAUCAGUAGUGGGAUCGCGCCUGUGAAUAACCACUGCACUCCAGCCUGGGCAACAUAGCGAGACCCCGUCUCU
This 299-nucleotide signal recognition particle RNA is filed under the name Aotus nancymaae (Ma's night monkey). RNAcentral describes it as "Metazoan signal recognition particle RNA (ENSANAG00000014501.1)". It matches the Rfam family "Metazoan signal recognition particle RNA". Rfam says of the family: The signal recognition particle (SRP) is a universally conserved ribonucleoprotein. It is involved in the co-translational targeting of proteins to membranes. Lineage: Eukaryota; Metazoa; Chordata; Mammalia; Primates; Aotidae. The record is from RNAcentral.